RNAcentral lists this transfer RNA (76 nucleotides) under SAR202 cluster bacterium. RNAcentral describes it as "tRNA-Ala". It matches the Rfam family "tRNA". Rfam says of the family: Transfer RNA (tRNA) molecules are approximately 80 nucleotides in length. Their secondary structure includes four short double-helical elements and three loops (D, anti-codon, and T loops). The record is from RNAcentral. Lineage: Bacteria; Bacillati; Chloroflexota; Dehalococcoidia.
GGGGCUGUAGCUCAUCAGGGAGAGCGCCGCCUUUGCAAGGCGGAGGUAGGGGGUUCAAGUCCCCCCAGCUCCACCA